Molecule: unclassified non-coding RNA, 336 nt
Filed under: soil metagenome
Description: partial contains 5.8S ribosomal RNA, internal transcribed spacer 2, and large subunit ribosomal RNA
Rfam family: 5.8S ribosomal RNA (bases 1-120)
Source: RNAcentral
GACGAAGAACGUAGCGAAAUGCGAUAAGUAAUGUGAAUUGCAGAAUUCCGUGAAUCAUCGAAUCUUUGAACGCACAUUGCGCCCCCUGGUAUUCCGGGGGGCAUGCCUGUCCGAGCGUCAUUGCAACCUUCAAGCGCGGCUUGUGUGUUGGGUCUCGUCCCCCGUGGACGGGCCCGAAAGGCAGUGGCGGCGUCCCGACAUGGUGCCCGAGCGUAUGGGAAUCCUCUUCCGCUCGAAUCGGCCCAUGCGGCGCUGGUCGUAACCAAAUUUUUUACCGGUUGACCUCGGAUCAGGUAGGGAUACCCGCUGAACUUAAGCAUAUCAAUAAGCGGAGGA